AUCUCGUGUCGUGAGAUGUUGGGUUAAGUCCCGCAACGAGCGCAACCCUUAUCCUAUGUUGCCAGCGCGUCAUGGCGGGGACUCAUAGGAGACUGCCGGGGUCAACUCGGAGGAAGGUGGGGAUGACGUCAAGUCAUCAUGCCCCUUACGUCUUGGGCUGCACACAUGCUACAAUGGCCGGUACAAAGGGCUGCGAUACCGCAAGGUGGAGCGAAUCCCAAAAAGCCGGUCUCAGUUCGGAUCGGGGUCUGCAACUCGACCCCGUGAAGUCGGAGUCGCUAGUAAUCGCAGAUCAGCAUUGCUGCGGUGAAUACGUUCCCGGGCCUUGUACACACCGCCCGUCACGUCACGAAAGUCGGUAACACCCGAAGCCGGUGGCCCAACCCUUGUGGGGGGAGCCGUCGAAGGUGGCGACCGGCUGAUUUGGGACGAAGUACGUAACAAGGUAGCCGUACCGGAAGGUGCGGCUGGAUCACCUCCUUUCUAAGGAGCUUUCUGGCUGGGUGCCCUCUGUAGUGGAGGGUGUCUGGUCCAGAGCGAAGACCAGCUGGAUGGUUGGUCUGGGUGCUCAUGGGUGUGGAACGCUGACUA
RNAcentral lists this ribosomal RNA (591 nucleotides) under Frankia sp. HsIi11. RNAcentral's name for it is "bacterial SSU rRNA". The stretch from base 1 to 483 matches the Rfam family "Bacterial small subunit ribosomal RNA", at positions 1057 to 1533 of the family's 1533-position model. Lineage: Bacteria; Bacillati; Actinomycetota; Actinomycetes; Frankiales; Frankiaceae. The record is from RNAcentral.